This 447-nucleotide ribosomal RNA is filed under the name uncultured bacterium. RNAcentral's name for it is "partial 16S ribosomal RNA". It matches the Rfam family "Bacterial small subunit ribosomal RNA", at positions 329 to 792 of the family's 1533-position model. The record is from RNAcentral.
CUCCAGACUCCUACGGGAGGCAGCAGUGGGGGAUAUUGCACAAUGGGGGGAACCCUGAUGCAGCGACGCCGCGUGAGCGAUGAAGUAUUUCGGUAUGUAAAGCCCUAUCGGCAGGGAAGAAGCAAGACGGUACCUGACUAAGAAGCCCCGGCUAACUACGUGCCAGCAGCCGCGGUAAUACGUAGGGGGCGAGCGUUAUCCGGAUUCACUGGGUGUAAAGGGAGCGUAGACGGCCAAGCAAGCCAGGGGUGAAAGCCCGGGGCCCAACCCCGGGACUGCCCUUGGAACUGCGUGGCUGGAGUGCAGGAGGGGCAGGCGGAAUUCCUGGUGUAGCGGUGAAAUGCGUAGAUAUCAGGAGGAACACCGGUGGCGAAGGCGGCCUGCUGGACUGCAACUGACGUUGAGGCCCGAAAGCGUGGGGAGCAAACAGGAUUAGAUACCCCCGUA